AUCCUUCUUUAGUUCAUAAGUGUGAUGAUUGGGUUUUCAUGGACAUGUGUGAGAUGUGCCUCCCUCAAAACUUGUUACAACAUUGGCACAUUACCCGUCUGACA
Molecule: small nucleolar RNA, 104 nt
Organism: Chlorocebus sabaeus (green monkey)
Lineage: Eukaryota; Metazoa; Chordata; Mammalia; Primates; Cercopithecidae
Source: Ensembl